UUGUAGGUUCAAACCAAGUUAGUGUAGAUGAGCUCACAGAAGAUAUAAUGUCGCUUGACAUUAGCCGUGAAUCAGAUGCUUCAAAUUCUGUGAACAAUCCUAAGGUAUCCACUCCAAAUGCUUCAAGUAGUGUUGCUUGUUAAAAAUCAGAGAACAUCUCAAGGUUUGAUUAUUUGGAAUUGAAGAUCUUGAGAAAGAAAGGCAUAUGGGAACUUGAAUGUUGAAACUAUUUGGAUGUUAUGAUUAGACUUUUAUGGAUUUCGUUUUAAGUUUGUUAAGACAUUAUGUGUUUAUGCAUUUUUAUGACUUUUGUGAACCUUUGGCGACUAAAUUUUCAUUAAACAGGUUCCUUAA
Molecule: long non-coding RNA, 354 nt
Organism: Helianthus annuus (common sunflower)
Lineage: Eukaryota; Viridiplantae; Streptophyta; Magnoliopsida; Asterales; Asteraceae
Exons: 2
Source: RefSeq, a predicted model, not a curated record